RNAcentral lists this unclassified non-coding RNA (1450 nucleotides) under uncultured fungus. RNAcentral's name for it is "sequence contains 18S rRNA gene, ITS1, 5.8S rRNA gene, ITS2, 28S rRNA gene". The stretch from base 534 to 1450 matches the Rfam family "Eukaryotic large subunit ribosomal RNA", at positions 1 to 961 of the family's 3401-position model. The record is from RNAcentral. Lineage: Eukaryota; Fungi.
GGAAGGAUCAUUACAAAAUUAGUUGAGUGUGGUGUGGUGUUGUAGGGGUGAGCGUUGGUGCUUGGUGAUUGAGCAAUCGAUUGACAAGUUCCGUACUCACUCUGAGACCCACUCGCGCACUUUGAGCCCACUCCUGAAAGGGAGCUGGACGCAUGCUUCGGUGUGCAAAUAAACAUUAAAUCAUGACUUAUAACCAACAAAAAGUAAUUAACAAAACUUUUAACAAUGGAUCUCUUGGCUCUUGCAACGAUGAAGAACGCAGUGAAAUGCGAAACGUAAUGCGAUUUGCAGCAUCUGUGAGUCAUCGAGUCUUUGAACGCACUUGGCACCUGGAGAUGAUCCAGGUAUACCUGUUUGAGCAGAAUAACCAAUUUUAUGUGAGUCUUAGUGUGUGAGCAGUAUGACUUGAAAAGAGUUUGAAUGGGACGUGCAAGUAUGCGUGUACUGUGUGAUCGCAAGGCCGUGGUCUUGAUUCACGGGAAGCGUUAUGCUUUGGACGGGUAAUCCGAUUCACAACAAAAAUAACAUUUUUUUUCUCUCAAAUCAGGCAAGAUUACCCGCUGAACUUAAGCAUAUCAGUAAGCGGAGGAAAAGAAACUAACAAGGAUUCCCUCAGUAACGGCGAGUGAAGCGGGAAGAGCUCAAAUUUGGAAUCGCUGCGUUGUGCGCAGUGAAUUGUAAUUUCAAGACAUGAGGGAGAGUGGAGGGAUGCGUUCAAGUCUCCUGGAAUGGAGCACCACAGAGGGUGACAGUCCCGUCUGGACGUGUGUCUUUGCGGAACUCUAGUGUCGACGAGUCGAGUUGCUUGGGAAUGCAGCUCCAAUGGGUGGUAAAUUCCAUCCAAGGCUAAAUAUUGGCAAGAGACCGAUAGCGAACAAGUACCGUGAGGGAAAGAUGAAAAGCACCUUGAAAAGGGAGUUAAAUAGCACGUGAAAUUGUUAAAAGGGAAACGAUCGCGGCUGAGUGUGGGGCGUACUGAGGAUACUCUUCUGCGGGAGGGUGUUGUAUGGUGCGUUCUGAGUCUGUGCUGGUGUGUGUGGCCGAAGAAUACUGGGCAGAGGGCAUGUGACGCGCGAGUGUUGCAUUGUCUCGCCUGGGGACACGGUUGUGCGUACUGGGAUGGAUGAUUGGCCUUGAACGACCCGUCUUGAAACACGGACCAAGGAGUCUAACAUGUAAGCGAGUAUUUGGGUGGCAAACCCGGAUGCGUAGCGAAAGCGAAUGGUAUGAGGGAUGCGAGUCUUGCAGUACCGGUGUGUGUCGAAGUCAUUGUCCUCACACAGCCUGAGCUUACAUGCUGGGACCCGAAAGAUGGUGAACUAUGCCUGAAUAGGGCGAAGCCAGAGGAAACUCUGGUGGAGGCUCGUAGCCGUUCUGACGUGCAAAUCGAUGGUCAAAUUUGGGUAUAGGGGCGAAAGACUAAUCGAACCAUCUAGUAGCUGGUUCCCUC